CAGCCGCCGCGGUAAUACGAAGGGUGCAAGCGUUACUCGGAAUUACUGGGCGUAAAGCGUGCGUAGGUGGUGGUUUAAGUCCGUUGUGAAAGCCCUGGGCUCAACCUGGGAAUUGCAGUGGAUACUGGGUCACUAGAGUGUGGUAGAGGAUAGUGGAAUUUCCGGUGUAGCAGUGAAAUGCGUAGAGAUCGGAAGGAACAUCUGUGGCGAAGGCGACUAUCUGGGCCAACACUGACACUGAGGCACGAAAGCGUGGGGAGCAAACAGGAUUAGAUACCCGAGUAGUCCCUGUCUCUUAUAA
Molecule: ribosomal RNA, 301 nt
Filed under: uncultured bacterium
Lineage: Bacteria
Description: partial 16S ribosomal RNA
Rfam family: Bacterial small subunit ribosomal RNA
Source: RNAcentral